Molecule: transfer RNA, 77 nt
Filed under: Candidatus Pacearchaeota archaeon
Lineage: Archaea; Nanobdellati
Description: tRNA-Arg
Rfam family: tRNA
About the family: Transfer RNA (tRNA) molecules are approximately 80 nucleotides in length.
Source: RNAcentral
GCCCGAGUAGCUCAGCCUGGAUUUAGAGCAGCACACUCCUAAUGUGCAGGUCGCAGGUUCAAAUCCUGUCUCGGGCG